GAUGAACGCUGGCGGCGUGCUUAACACAUGCAAGUCGAACGAAGCUGCCUAAAGGAAGUUUUCGGAUGGAAUUUAGGUAGACUUAGUGGCGGAUGGGUGAGUAACGCGUGGAUAACCUGCCUUAUACAGGGGGAUAACGGAGAGAAAUUUCCGCUAAUACCGCAUAAGACCACAGCACCGCAUGGUGCAGGGGUAAAAUAUUUAUAGGUAUAAGAUGGAUCCGCGUCCGAUUAGCUAGUUGGUGAGGUAAAGGCCCACCAAGGCGACGAUCGGUAGCCGGCCUGAGAGGGUGAACGGCCACAUUGGGACUGAGACACGGCCCAAACUCCUACGGGAGGCAGCAGUGGGGAAUAUUGGACAAUGGGGGAAACCCUGAUCCAGCGACGCCGCGUGAGUGAAGAAGUAUUUCGGUAUGUAAAGCUCUAUCAGCAGGGAAGAAAAUGACGGUACCUGACUAAGAAGCCCCGGCUAACUACGUGCCAGCAGCCGCGGUAAUACGUAGGGGGCAAGCGUUAUCCGGAUUUUACUGGGUGUAAAGGGAGCGCAGACGGCAAUGCAAGUCUGAAAGUGAAAGGCGUGGGGCUCAACCCAUGAACUGUUUUGGAAACUGUAUAGCUUGGAGUGUCGGAGGGGGUAAGCCGGAUUUCCAGUGUUCCGGUGAUAUGCGUAGAUAUUAGGAGGAACACCGGAGGAGAAGGCGGCUUACUGGACGACAACUGUCGUUGAGGCUCGAAGGCAUGGGUAGUAAUAUGAUAAAUACCCCAGUGAUCCAGGGGCGAAUUCACAAUGG
This 790-nucleotide ribosomal RNA is filed under the name uncultured Lachnospiraceae bacterium. RNAcentral's name for it is "bacterial SSU rRNA". It matches the Rfam family "Bacterial small subunit ribosomal RNA", at positions 28 to 812 of the family's 1533-position model. The record is from RNAcentral. Lineage: Bacteria; Bacillati; Bacillota; Clostridia; Lachnospirales; Lachnospiraceae.